Molecule: non-coding RNA, 4440 nt
Organism: Punica granatum (pomegranate)
Lineage: Eukaryota; Viridiplantae; Streptophyta; Magnoliopsida; Myrtales; Lythraceae
Source: RefSeq, a predicted model, not a curated record
AUCUAUCUCUUGUUUUCAAGAGACAGAAUAUUCCAUUUCUAGUUCCGUCUUUUGUAAGGAGAUGGAAAUGUUCGUCUCUCCUUAUAAAGAUAAAUAUUUCCAUCUAUUUUCAAAAAAAAAAAAAAAUCUGUCUCGAUUUUGAGACGUCUUUUCCCGUCUCUUACUUCCGUCUCUAUGGAGCCGAUUUGCUAUAGCGAGAUCUUAUAGGGCCACCUACACGGCAUGGCUAAAAUGGAAUCCACACCACACACACAGAGACUCGCUGACCCAGCAACCCCCCUGACUUCCAUGCCUCGCCACUCAACGGCUCCACCGCUCUAUCGCUCUACUGCUCCGCCCACUCAUCUUUAUCCGUCCGUAACCUCGCGCAGCUCCACACGUCUUUGUUGCCCUGCCAUCUCUUGAUCUCGUUUCUGGGUCUAAUCGAUCUCUGAACUCACUCUGUUAACUUCGACCACCACCUUCUUUAGGUAAUUCCUCUAAUCAAACCCUCCCCUCUCCCCUACUUUGCAGAUUUCAGGGUUUCCUAUUCUUCCUUUCUUCAUCAGUUUUUGACGAGUUGCGUGGAGGGGAGGGAGAGCUGAGCGACCAAUGGGAGCUUGGUAAAGUACGUGAACAGUAACGGCGCAUCCCUGCGACCAGUGCACGAAGUCGAAAUGGUGGAGGCUAAAGAAGACGCGAGGAAGAGGAGGAUCGAAGAGAUUGGAGAUGAAAGGCAUGCUUUUUAAGCAAAGCGGACGACGACAGCUUGAGGUACGUUGAAUUCGAAGUAGGAAUUGGUUAAUGCUUUUUGUUUCCUUGCUCUUUAUAUGAUCUUUGUGAUUGUCGGAGGGUAGAAAAAACACAAGAAGAUGCAUAAUACCCUUACCUCAGACGCGCACCUGAACUUGUCAGUUCAGUGGGAGCUCAUUCCGGUCACAGCCGAGAGCUUCUUCGUCAAUUCAUUCAAUUGGAGGAAGAGAAAACAGAAAAUUGAUGAUAUGUUGCUGACAUGACAUUCAAGGCCAUCCAAUUCUAUAUAUGAGGUUUCCAUAGCUUCCAAGAACUCGCAAUUUGGUGGUCCGAACGAGGAGAAUAGUAAGUUCAAAGUUGGGUCGAUGAACUGCUUGGUCACCCUGUCAAAAGAGAGGGGUUCACGUAUUCUCUACGUCGGCACUGUUUCACGCAUUAAUGAGGCACGUCAAAUUUUCCAUCCAAAAUGUUUGGAAAAUUGAUGCAUUCCAUUAGAAUUCCGUGAAACCGAUGACGGAAUGCUGACAUGUUUCGCGUUUUGGGGGAAAACCGGGUACACUUGGACACAUUUGAGACCCAUGCCCCCUCUCUUUCUCUUUCUUCUUCUUUUCUUCUUCUUCUUCCUCUUAUGGCCCGACCAACCUAGUAACACUCCCUCCUUUGCCUUCUCCUCUCCUCUUCCUCAUUCUAUUCCCGCCGUGUUUCAGCAGAGCACCAUCAGCGCAGCCAAUAUCGCCGCCCACCGCUCCAUCAAGGACAACCUUACCAACCUUCUGGCUCCUACUUCUUCUCCACCUGGGACUUCACCUCCCCAGAUCCCUACUCUACCUUCCUUUGCCUCACCUGCUAAUCCUUUGCCACCCUCGCCCAGGUAUUCGCCCUCCCCCCUUGGCCCCGCCCUUGUCGGUUCCCUCCCUGCCUCCAUUUCCUCCCUCUCUGAGCUGACCCAGCUCUUCCUCUCCCCCGGCAUUAUCACCAGGCCAAGUCCCUCGGAGCUCAACUGCCUCUUUGGCUGCUUCUUCUUCCUUCUCUCUCUAGGCUCUCGCACACAGACACACAGAGCAUUUCCUCAUCUCUUCCCCUGCUUCCUUCCAUCACAGCCACCUUCAUCAUCUUCUUCCUUCACCAUGAACGAUCAGUCACCACAUCGACACCCUUCUCGGUCAAGAGUGCAAGGACGUAGAGACUAGAACAGAGGGGGGAGAGAGAGAUGGUAGACUGUCGAGUUUUUAGAGAGAGAAAGGAAGAGUGCCGUCACAGUUGCAGAGAAAAGGGGAUGGAGUGGGUCCCAGAUGAGUCCAAGGUGGCUUCCAGGUGUGCUCGGUUUGCCCCAAAACACGAGCCAUGUCAGCAUUUCAUUAUAGAUUUCACGGAAUGGUGAAGAAAUAUUGUAGCAUGAUAAAAAAAAUCUAUGUUGUUUCAUGAAAUUAUUUUGUUUUGUGUUUCAGUGUGAAACACGGAAAAAUUCAAUAUUGUGUGGUGUUAUUUCCCCUUCAAUUAAGUGUAUAAGUAUACAUUUCGAGUCGAAUAUUGGGCAAAGUUGCAAGUAAAGAGGAUAGAUACAUCCAACGCAUAUUCAAUCUUCUCACACUUUAUAAUGUAGAUAUAGAGCUCAUCGAUAACAAAAUAAAUAAUCAAUGGCUAAAUAUGAAGAGUGAGAACGACAGCACAUAAUACAAUUAUGAUAUUACCAGGAAAGAAAUUUGAAUAAUAGAAUAGGGUCUUUCCUUUGGGAUUUUUACCCCAAAUGUCCCAUGGUUAACCCGUUUUGUCAAAUCUAUCUUAUGUUUUUUUUUGUCAGAUAUAUCCCAUGGUUUACUUUUUGUAUCAAAUAUAUCCCGACGUUAUAUUUUUCAUCAACAUCUAACGGUCGUGCUGACGUGGCAUAUAGAGGAAUAAUUGGCCACACUUGCCACGUGGGUGCCACGCCAGCAUAGCUGUUAGAUGUCGACAGAAAAGAUAACGUCGGGAUAGAUUUGAUAUAAAAAGUAAAUCAUGAGAUAUAUUUGACAAAAAAAAACAAAUAAUAGAUUUGACCAAAUGGAUCAACCAUGGACCAUUUGAGGUAAAUUUUCCUUUUCCUUUUCCUUUUGAGUGGAAAAGACAUUUUGCCUCAUAACGUUUCGUUUUGCAUCACUUUGACCACUAAUGUUUAGUUUGUUUUAUUUUGACCAUUCACUUUUUUAGAAACUUUGAGAAAAAAUUGAUUACUAAUGUGAUAUAAACUAAAUAUAAUAUCCAGAGAAGGGGAGACUAAAGUAGCGGCGCAUAUCCUCUAUUUAAAAUAGAGGUUUCAGGUUCGAUUUUCAUGGUGUGAUUACUUAUGUUCGUUUUUUCGCUAUUAGAAUUUCUAUUGUUUCGUAUUAGAGUCGUGACUCUUCAUUACAACUGAAAAAAGUCUAAAGCUGAUCCAAGGUUGUCAGAAUCUAGAAUUGGUUGAGAGUCGUAGAAUCGUGAAUCGUAGUAUCGUAAGAUUCUACGUGUAUAUAUAUAUAUAUAUAUAUAAAAUACUUUCCUGAGAAAAAAAAUCAAUCUCGUUCAACAGAAUCCAUCAAAUAUACAUAGCACAAGAACUUCAAUAGAAGCAAUCAGAUAUACAGAGCAAUCCUUAUUCGAUGCCUCUUCCAAUUCAGCUUCCAAAUCAAGUAUACACAAUAGGAAAAAAAUGCAGCUUCCCGUCCAAUUCGAUGCUUAUUCCAAAUCGGGCAUACACAAUAGAAAAGACCAAAACGCAAUGCAUACUUUGAUUGAACCUCAACAGCUCAGCUUAUAAGCAGAAAAAACCAGAACCCUAACUACACUCAAGUUCGGGGAAAGGAAAAAAAAAAGGGAUGGAGUCGAAGGAAAAGGUACCUAGCUGGGAAGCAGUGGAAGCUCCUAACAGAGUUACUGGACUUCAGCUCAAUACCACUACAGGGGAAGUGAGGAACCUCUUUCUUCACUUGAUUGGCGGUUAAUUGCAGCGGCAAUAGAGGGAAGGAGGUAACUCCGAAAUUGGUUUGGACUCUAGACGAUGUGAUUGAAGUCGAAGCUCAGACGGAGAAGCCUUGUAGUAAUCUGGUCGAACCGUCGAACCUCGAACGGAGAAGCCUACACAGAACCUGGUCGACGACGGAAUUAGGGCAAAGACAAAACACACCUGGCCGAACCUGGACGAAGACGGAAACUGUAGUCUGAGAUUGGAGAAAAGCCGAUGAAGAAGAAAGGAGAAAAGGAAGGGGGAGGGGGAAGGAAAAAAAAAGGGCCAGGGGGGUUCGGCUCGACUCUGGCCCGGGCUUCGGCCCAACUCUGGGUUGGGAUUUGUCCAAGUCUGGGCUGAAUCCGGAAUCGCGGUAUCGGCCCAAUUCUGCGAUUUCGCGAUUCUCGGCCCAAUUCGGCAGCGACUUUACCUUUUCCGAUUCAGCCCAUAGAAUCGAAAUCGUCGACCUCCUUCAAAUCGUAGAAUCAUACGAUUCUACGAUUCGAAUUACGAUUCUGACAACUAUGGACAUAUCCAUUGGUGACUAAACUAACACUUUUUUGAUAUUAGGCCUGUGUGACGUAACUAACUUAUCCUGUCAGCUUGCAGUGUGUUAAUGGGCAGCGCAUAUUAUUUAGAUGAAGCCGAACACUCCUCAUUAUUAAAAAAAAAUAAAAUCAUGUGAUGGGGUGCAAGGGCCUCGUAAAAGGUUGUUUCAUGGUUUGGGCGAAUGGAUUUUUGUUUAAGGU